UCGGGGGUGGUGUAAUCGGUAACACAGCAGCUUCUGGUGCUGCCUUUGGGGGUUCGAGUCCUCCCCCCGAGCCA
This 74-nucleotide transfer RNA is filed under the name Aquihabitans sp. G128. RNAcentral describes it as "tRNA-Gln". It matches the Rfam family "tRNA". From Rfam's summary of the family: Transfer RNA (tRNA) molecules are approximately 80 nucleotides in length. Their secondary structure includes four short double-helical elements and three loops (D, anti-codon, and T loops). Further hydrogen bonds mediate the characteristic L-shaped molecular structure. tRNAs have two regions of fundamental functional importance: the anti-codon, which is responsible for specific mRNA codon recognition, and the 3' end, to which the tRNAs corresponding amino acid is attached (by aminoacyl-tRNA synthetases). tRNAs cope with the degeneracy of the genetic code in two manners: having more than one tRNA (with a specific anti-codon) for a particular amino acid; and 'wobble' base-pairing, i.e. permitting non-standard base-pairing at the 3rd anti-codon position. The record is from RNAcentral. Lineage: Bacteria; Bacillati; Actinomycetota; Acidimicrobiia; Acidimicrobiales; Iamiaceae.